CUCCAAGUGGGCCAUUUU
RNAcentral lists this small nuclear RNA (18 nucleotides) under Arabidopsis thaliana (thale cress). Its description in RNAcentral is "snRNA_06404". Lineage: Eukaryota; Viridiplantae; Streptophyta; Magnoliopsida; Brassicales; Brassicaceae. The record is from RNAcentral.